CCCUGGUGGCGAUGAUACGCUU
Molecule: non-coding RNA, 22 nt
Filed under: Arabidopsis thaliana (thale cress)
Lineage: Eukaryota; Viridiplantae; Streptophyta; Magnoliopsida; Brassicales; Brassicaceae
Source: RNAcentral